Molecule: small RNA, 88 nt
Filed under: Arabidopsis thaliana (thale cress)
Lineage: Eukaryota; Viridiplantae; Streptophyta; Magnoliopsida; Brassicales; Brassicaceae
Description: ATSL306790
Source: RNAcentral
UAUGGCCGGACCAACUAUUUGCCAUAGCUUUUUUGUCUCAACCAAAAUUCUAUCCUUCAAUCCUUCACCGUCUUCCUCCGCCGUGUGA